RNAcentral lists this ribosomal RNA (723 nucleotides) under uncultured Bacilli bacterium. RNAcentral's name for it is "bacterial SSU rRNA". It matches the Rfam family "Bacterial small subunit ribosomal RNA", at positions 28 to 732 of the family's 1533-position model. The record is from RNAcentral. Lineage: Bacteria; Bacillati; Bacillota; Bacilli.
GACGAACGCUGGCGGCGUGCCUAAUACAUGCAAGUCGAGCGGACCGACGGGAGCUUGCUCCCUUAGGUCAGCGGCGGACGGGUGAGUAACACGUGGGUAACCUGCCUGUAAGACUGGGAUAACUCCGGGAAACCGGGGCUAAUACCGGAUGCUUGAUUGAACCGCAUGGUUCAAUCAUAAAAGGUGGCUUUUAGCUACCACUUGCAGAUGGACCCGCGGCGCAUUAGCUAGUUGGUGAGGUAACGGCUCACCAAGGCGACGAUGCGUAGCCGACCUGAGAGGGUGAUCGGCCACACUGGGACUGAGACACGGCCCAGACUCCUACGGGAGGCAGCAGUAGGGAAUCUUCCGCAAUGGACGAAAGUCUGACGGAGCAACGCCGCGUGAGUGAUGAAGGUUUUCGGAUCGUAAAACUCUGUUGUUAGGGAAGAACAAGUACCGUUCGAAUAGGGCGGUACCUUGACGGUACCUAACCAGAAAGCCACGGCUAACUACGUGCCAGCAGCCGCGGUAAUACGUAGGUGGCAAGCGUUGUCCGGAAUUAUUGGGCGUAAAGCGCGCGCAGGCGGUUUCUUAAGUCUGAUGUGAAAGCCCCCGGCUCAACCGGGGAGGGUCAUUGGAAACUGGGGAACUUGAGUGCAGAAGAGGAGAGUGGAAUUCCACGUGUAGCGGUGAAAUGCGUAGAGAUGUGGAGGAACACCAGUGGCGAAGGCGACUCUCUGG